This 465-nucleotide ribosomal RNA is filed under the name uncultured Glomus. RNAcentral describes it as "SSU rRNA". It matches the Rfam family "Eukaryotic small subunit ribosomal RNA", at positions 569 to 1038 of the family's 1831-position model. The record is from RNAcentral. Lineage: Eukaryota; Fungi; Glomeromycota; Glomeromycetes; Glomerales; Glomeraceae.
AGCAGCCGCGGUAAUUCCAGCUCCAAUAGCGUAUAUUAAAGUUGUUGCAGUUAAAAAGCUCGUAGUUGAAUUUCGGGAUCAAUAUGUUGGUCGUGCCUUGGUACGUACUGGCAUUAUCGAUUCCUACCUUCUGAAGAACCUCGAUGUCAUUAAUUUGGUGUCUUGGGGAAUCAGGACUGUUACUUUGAAAAAUUAGAGUGUUUAAAGCAGGCUCGCGCUUGAAUACAUUAGCAUGGAAUAAUGAAAUAGGACGUUUGAUUCUAUUUUGUUGGUUUCUAGGAUCGACGUAAUGAUUAAUAGGGAUAGUUGGGGGCAUUAGUAUUCAAUUGUCAGAGGUGAAAUUCUUGGAUUUAUUGAAGACUAACUACUGCGAAAGCAAUUUGCCGAGGAUGUUUUCAUUAAUUCAAGAACGAAAGUUAGGGGAUCGAAGACGAUCAGAUACCGUCGUAGUCUUAACCAUAAAAC